CUCAGUGAAGAAAACCGUGAAACCAUCGCCAGAAGGCAGCACCUUGCAGGAGAAAUAUUCUGGAUUUACAGCCUCUUGUCCUUCUUUUAGCAUCACAGCGUCUUUCUGUCACCUGCAGGCCUCAUGUGAGCCUAAACCAAGCCGGACAGGCGUUUGUUGCUUCGGUUUGGCCUCAUCUGGCUUCAGCAGGAUCUUUAAAACUUGCUCCCACAGGUCGAUCUACGAUUGCAGGACGAACACAUCCACCACUGCAGAGACAAAUCAGACAGAUGAUGGAACAUGUGGCGACUGAACACAUGAAGUGGACAGAAUCUGUACUUACAGAGUGGGAUGCAGAGAGCUGUAACCUCCAUGAUGCUGCCUCCGACUGUCUGAACAUCAGACUGAACCACUGCUGACAGACACAUCAUGGAGCUCAGAACCUCCUCUUCCUGUCCAGAUUAUUUCUGAUGCAGCAGCAGCAGCACAUCUACAAAUAUCUACAUGAGACGCAGCUGCUACUCUGGUGAUAAUAAUCUCACUGGUUCCAGCUAGACCUCUGACAUGGGUGUAGAUUUCAUUGAGAUAAGCAGGAGAUGGGCGUCAUGAACACAAAGUUUCCUUCAUUUGUCGCCUUUCUCCAUCAGUUUGUAGUAAAAACGCCUUCAUUUCUUAUUAAAUCAGGAGCCUAAUAGCACUUCCAAACAUCAUGCAUUGAUGUUUUAAAGCAUUCUGAACUGUUUUCAGACAUUUACUCUCUUGUCGAUCAAAUUAAAUCUUCUCACUCACCACCAGGUUUGAAAAGCAUCUCAUCUUUUUAAAAAAACCCACAAUGAUGCCAUUUAACUGACCUGAAAACUGCCAAAACAAAACGAAUUGAUGGAUUUUUAUUUGUCUUUCAACUGCUCAUCCUUGACAGUGUUUCAUCAGAAAAAAAAACGAAUUAGUGAAAUUUUAAAAAAGAGUUAUUUGCAACAAGUAGAUGAA
This is a long non-coding RNA of Amphiprion ocellaris (clown anemonefish), 966 nucleotides long. RefSeq lists it as uncharacterized. NCBI's taxonomy places the organism in Eukaryota, Metazoa, Chordata, Actinopteri, Pomacentridae. The record is from RefSeq and is a predicted model, not a curated record. The transcript has 3 exons.